Molecule: ribosomal RNA, 711 nt
Filed under: uncultured fungus
Lineage: Eukaryota; Fungi
Description: eukaryotic LSU rRNA
Rfam family: Eukaryotic large subunit ribosomal RNA (bases 79-711)
Source: RNAcentral
CCCUCGAUGCAACGAGCUUUUUAUGGCACGCAUGGAAGUGGUCUGGUCGGCCCGGUCUGAACCAUUAUUUUUCACGGUUGACCUCGGAUCAGGUAGGAGUACCCGCUGAACUUAAGCAUAUCAAUAAGCGGAGGAAAAGAAACCAACAGGGAUUACCCUAGUAACGGCGAGUGAAGCGGUAACAGCUCAAAUUUGAAAUCUGGCCUUGACCGGUCCGAGUUGUAAUUUGUAGAGGAUGUUUCGGGCAAGGCUCUGGUUUAAAUUUCUUGGAACAGAAUGUCAUAGAGGGUGAGAGUCCCGUCUAGAACCGGGGGCCGCGUCCAUGUGAAACUCCUUCGACGAGUCGAGUUGUUUGGGAAUGCAGCUCAAAAUGGGUGGUAAAUUUCAUCUAAAGCUAAAUAUUGGCCAGAGACCGAUAGCGCACAAGUAGAGUGAUCGAAAGAUGAAAAGCACUUUGAAAAGAGAGUCAAACAGUACGUGAAAUUGUUGAAAGGGAAGCGCUUGCAAUCAGACUUGUGACCGACGGUUCCCCCGACCCUCGUGGUCGGGCUACUCCGUCGUGUCCAGGCCAACAUCGGUCUGGGUGGCCGGUUAAAGACCCCGGGAAUGUAUCUACCUUCGGGUCGACUUAUAGCCCGGGGUGGAAUGCGGCCCACCCGGACCGAGGAACGCGCUCCGGCUCGGAUGUUGGCGUAAUGGUUGCAAGCGGCC